Molecule: ribosomal RNA, 692 nt
Filed under: uncultured bacterium
Lineage: Bacteria
Description: bacterial SSU rRNA
Rfam family: Bacterial small subunit ribosomal RNA
Source: RNAcentral
CUGCCCCGUCCAGGGGGAUAAUCGGCGGAAACGCCGUCUAAUACCGCGUAUAUCGGUACCGGGCAUCCGGGAUUGAAGAAAGGGCCUUAGGGUCCGGGACGGGAUGGGCAUGCGGCGCAUUAGGAAGUUGGCGGUGUAACGGACCACCAAUCCGUCGAUGCGUAGGGGUUCUGAGAGGAAGGCCCCCCACACUGGUACUGAGACACGGACCAGACUCCUACGGGAGGCAGCAGUGAGGAAUAUUGGUCAAUGGGCGGGAGCCUGAACCAGCCAAGUCGCGUGAGGGAAGAAGGUACUGAGUAUUGUAAACCUCUUUUGCCAGGGGACAAAGGCGGCCACGGGUGGCCGUAAGAGGGUACCUGGAGAAAAAGCAUCGGCUAACUCCGUGCCAGCAGCCGCGGUAAUACGGAGGAUGCGAGCGUUAUCCGGAUUUAUUGGGUUUAAAGGGUGCGCAGGCGGCGUGUCAAGUCAGCGGUAAAAUGUCGGGGCUCAACCCCGGCCGGCCGUUGAAACUGGCGUGCUCGAGUUGGAGAGAAGUAUGCGGAAUUCGUGGUGUAGCGGUGAAAUGCAUAGAUAUCACGAAGAACCCCGAUUGCGAAGGCAGCAUACCGGCUCCACACUGACGCUGAGGCACGAAAGCGUGGGUAUCGAACAGGAUUAGAUACCCUGGUAGUCCACGCAGUAAACGAUGA